Hypanus sabinus (Atlantic stingray) is the source of this 1189-nucleotide long non-coding RNA. RefSeq lists it as uncharacterized. The record is from RefSeq and is a predicted model, not a curated record. NCBI's taxonomy places the organism in Eukaryota, Metazoa, Chordata, Chondrichthyes, Myliobatiformes, Dasyatidae. The transcript has 5 exons.
UCCGGGUGGACGGUGUUAUCCUCUCCGCUCACAGCUGAAGUGUGUCGGCUGUGUGAUCGGGAAAGACUUUCGUCUCUUCCGUCGGGAUCACUGUCUGCGGGCCGAAGAUAUCACUUUCCCAUCGAUAGACCUGCGGUGCGAGGUUUAUUGGAAGAAAAACCGCAACUGGAAGCAAACCACGACUGAAGACGAGGGAACAGCAACAAGUGAACCAGCCCGAGGACUGAGAGCAUCAACUGGAGAGAACCCAUCUGACUCGGAGAUUCAGUCAGGAGAAAGUUUGGACUGAUUUGUACUUCCUGAAAUGGACCUGAUUUAACCUGGAAAUGGAAAUGACUCGUCCUGUGAUAGGACAUCAGUAAAGAAAGCACAGCUUUUCCCUGUCAAUUAUCUGUUAGACCUGUGGUGAGAGAUUUAUUGGAAGAAAAACCGCAACUGGAAGCAAACCACGACUGAGGACGUGGGAACAGCAACAAGUGAACCAGCCCGAGGACUGAGAGCAUCAACUGGAGAGAACCCAUUUGACUCGAAGAUUCCAGUGAUUCAGUCAGGAGAAAGUUUGGUUAAAACUGAGAAGGAAUUCGUCUCCAGGAAGCUCAAACACGGCACACCUGUUUUGUUGUCUCUGUCUAGAUAUUUAAAAAGUGGAGCAAGGGAUCCAAUUGACCAUCCUUCCUGCUCAGACUGUGGGGAGGGAUUCACUCGGUCAUUUGACCAACUGUCACACCUGUAAUUUACACAGGAGAAAGGCCUUUCACCUGCUCAGACAGUGGGAAUGGAUUCACUCAGUUAUCACAAUUGAAGUUAGAUCAGCAGGUUCACACACUGGACAAGGCCAUUCACCUGUUCUGUGUGUGAGAAGGGGUUCAGUCGGUCUUCCCACCUGUGAAAACACCAAUCAGUUCACACCACACCGGGCAGAGGCUGGUCAUCUGCUGAAUUUCUGGGAAAGGAUUCACUCGGUCGUCUGACCUAAUGGCUCACCAGUGGGUUCACACUGGGGAGAAGCCGUUCACCUGCUCAGUCUGUGGGAAAGGAUUCACUCAGUCAUCUACCCUACUGGUACAUCAGCGAGUUCACUCUGGGGAGAAGCCUUUCACCUGCUCAGUCUGUGGAAAGGGAUUCACUCAGUCAUCCAACCUACAGAGACAUCAGCGAGUUCAUACUGGGGAGAAGCCAUUCACCUGCU